CAGCCGCCGCGGGAAAACGAAGGGGGCUAGCGUUGCUCGGAAUCACUGGGCGUAGAGGGUGCGUAGGCGGGUCUUUAAGUCAGGGGUGAAAUCCUGGAGCUCAACUCCAGAACUGCCUUUGAUACUGAAGAUCUUGAGUUCGGGAGAGGUGAGUGGAACUGCGAGUGUAGAGGUGAAAUUCGUAGAUAUUCGCAAGAACACCAGUGGCGAAGGCGGCUCACUGGCCCGAUACUGACGCUGAGGCUCGAAAGCGUGGGGAGCAAACAGGAUUAGAUACCCGCGUAGUCCCUGUCUCUUAUAC
RNAcentral lists this ribosomal RNA (301 nucleotides) under uncultured bacterium. RNAcentral's name for it is "partial 16S ribosomal RNA". It matches the Rfam family "Bacterial small subunit ribosomal RNA", at positions 509 to 807 of the family's 1533-position model. The record is from RNAcentral.